RNAcentral lists this ribosomal RNA (465 nucleotides) under uncultured Klebsiella sp. RNAcentral's name for it is "bacterial SSU rRNA". It matches the Rfam family "Bacterial small subunit ribosomal RNA", at positions 338 to 795 of the family's 1533-position model. Lineage: Bacteria; Pseudomonadati; Pseudomonadota; Gammaproteobacteria; Enterobacterales; Enterobacteriaceae. The record is from RNAcentral.
CCUACGGGGGGCUGCAGUGGGGAAUAUUGCACAAUGGGCGCAAGCCUGAUGCAGCCAUGCCGCGUGUGUGAAGAAGGCCUUCGGGUUGUAAAGCACUUUCAGCGGGGAGGAAGGCGGUGAGGUUAAUAACCUUAUCGAUUGACGUUACCCGCAGAAGAAGCACCGGCUAACUCCGUGCCAGCAGCCGCGGUAAUACGGAGGGUGCAAGCGUUAAUCGGAAUUACUGGGCGUAAAGCGCACGCAGGCGGUCUGUCAAGUCGGAUGUGAAAUCCCCGGGCUCAACCUGGGAACUGCAUUCGAAACUGGCAGGCUAGAGUCUUGUAGAGGGGGGCAGAAUUCCAGGUGUAGCGGUGAAAUGCGUAGAGAUCUGGAGGAAUACCGGUGGCGAAGGCGGCCCCCUGGACAAAGACUGACGCUCAGGUGCGAAAGCGUGGGGAGCAAACAGGAUUAGAUACCCCAGUAGUC